CAGCCGCCGCGGUAAUACGAAGGGGGCUAGCGUUGCUCGGAAUGACUGGGCGUAAAGGGCGCGUAGGCGGCGAUCAAAGUCAGGCGUGAAAUUCCUGGGCUCAACCUGGGGGCUGCGUUUGAUACUUGGUUGCUAGAGUGAGGAAGAGGGUCGUGGAAUUCCCAGUGUAGAGGUGAAAUUCGUAGAUAUUGGGAAGAACACCGGUGGCGAAGGCGGCGACCUGGUCCUUGACUGACGCUGAGGCGCGAAAGCAUGGGGAGCAAACAGGAUUAGAUACCCCUGUAGUCCCUGUCUCUUAUAC
Molecule: ribosomal RNA, 301 nt
Filed under: uncultured bacterium
Lineage: Bacteria
Description: partial 16S ribosomal RNA
Rfam family: Bacterial small subunit ribosomal RNA
Source: RNAcentral